GAUGAACGCUGGCGGCGUGCCUAACACAUGCAAGUCGAACGAGGUAUUUUGAUUGAAGUUUUCGGAUGGAUUUCAAGAUACCGAGUGGCGGACGGGUGAGUAACGCGUGGGUAACCUGCCUCAUACAGGGGGAUAACGGUUAGAAAUGACUGCUAAUACCGCAUAAGCGCACAGUACCGCAUGGUACGGUGUGAAAAACUCCGGUGGUAUGAGAUGGACCCGCGUCUGAUUAGCUAGUUGGUGGGGUAACGGCCCACCAAGGCGACGAUCAGUAGCCGAACUGAGAGGGUGAUCGGCCACAUUGGGACUGAGACACGGCCCAGACUCCUACGGGAGGCAGCAGUGGGGGAUAUUGCACAAUGGAGGAAACUCUGAUGCAGCGACGCCACGUGAGUGAAGAAGUAUUUCGGUAUGUAAAGCUCUAUCAGCAGGGAAGAAAAUGACGGUACCUGACUAAGAAGCCCCGGCUAACUACGUGCCAGCCGCCGCAGUAA
This 494-nucleotide ribosomal RNA is filed under the name uncultured bacterium. RNAcentral's name for it is "partial 16S ribosomal RNA". It matches the Rfam family "Bacterial small subunit ribosomal RNA", at positions 28 to 523 of the family's 1533-position model. The record is from RNAcentral.